Molecule: ribosomal RNA, 301 nt
Filed under: uncultured bacterium
Lineage: Bacteria
Description: partial 16S ribosomal RNA
Rfam family: Bacterial small subunit ribosomal RNA
Source: RNAcentral
CAGCCGCCACGGGAAUACAGAGGGUGCGAGCGUUAAUCGGAUUUACUGGGCGUAAAGCGUGCGUAGGCGGCUUUUUAAGUCGGAUGUGAAAUCCCUGAGCUUAACUUAGGAAUUGCAUUCGAUACUGGGAAGCUAGAGUAUGGGAGAGGAUGGUAGAAUUCCAGGUGUAGCGGUGAAAUGCGUAGAGAUCUGGAGGAAUACCGAUGGCGAAGGCAGCCAUCUGGCCUAAUACUGACGCUGAGGUACGAAAGCAUGGGGAGCAAACAGGAUUAGAUACCCGUGUAGUCCCUGUCUCUUAUAC